Molecule: ribosomal RNA, 460 nt
Filed under: uncultured bacterium
Lineage: Bacteria
Description: partial 16S ribosomal RNA
Rfam family: Bacterial small subunit ribosomal RNA
Source: RNAcentral
CCUACGGGAGGCAGCAGUGAGGAAUAUUGGUGAAUGGACGAGAGUCUGAACCAGCCAAGUAGCGUGAAGGAUGACUGCCCUAUGGGUUGUAAACUUCUUUUAUAUGGGAAUAAAAUGUUCCACGUGUGGGAUUUUGUAUGUACCAUAUGAAUAAGGAUCGGCUAACUCCGUGCCAGCAGCCGCGGUAAUACGGAGGAUCCGAGCGUUAUCCGGAUUUAUUGGGUUUAAAGGGAGCGUAGGUGGAUUGUUAAGUCAGUUGUGAAAGUUUGCGGCUCAACCGUAAAAUUGCAGUUGAAACUGGCAGUCUUGAGUACAGUAGAGGUGGGCGGAAUUCGUGGUGUAGCGGUGAAAUGCUUAGAUAUCACGAAGAACUCCGAUUGCGAAGGCAGUUCACUGGACUGCAACUGACACUGAGGCUCGAAAGUGUGGGUAUCAAACAGGAUUAGAUACCCGAGUAGUC